RNAcentral lists this long non-coding RNA (771 nucleotides) under Eucalyptus grandis. RNAcentral describes it as "long non-coding RNA (EGRA_LNC006984)". Lineage: Eukaryota; Viridiplantae; Streptophyta; Magnoliopsida; Myrtales; Myrtaceae. The record is from RNAcentral.
GAAAAAAAAUUACAGACAUCAACAAGCUAAUAAAUCAAGAGAGUAUCAAGUCAAAGUCAAGGAAAAUAGUUGGACAGGACAAACAGUAAACUGCUGUCAAGGUGCCCAAUAAUGGGCAUCAAAUAAUCAAUAAUCUUAGUAAUGCAGUCUGAAAGUAGCAUUAGAUUGGGAAAAAUAUAAUUAAAAUAUCAAGGGAUUGAAAGAACAUCAAGAAAGAACAUCAACCUAAAAGACUGCAUUCUCCUUGAUAUCCAGUUCAAGACCAUCCAUCUAAAUUGCCGCAUUCAAUCUACCUCUCAGAAAGCCCACUCAAAGCUACUAGGCAAAACCCAAAAGCCAUGAACGAAGAAGCAUUAGGCCAGUCGAGAAAAUGAAGCAGCACACCUCUAUACAGAGACGAGAGUUUAACAUUCUGAUAUUGCACGCGGAAAGGAUAAAAGAAGCAAGAAACAAAGCAAUUUACAGGGAACCCAUCAACGACAAAAACCCUCUUCUAAGCACAAUUGCCCGCUUCAUGCAAAUAAAACAGAGAGAUUCCAAACUCCAAAGAACUUCCAUAGAAACAAAGACGAAAUCCCAACAAGGUGGGGCUUCAUUUCCGGCCUUUCCUUUCGUGCCGGGGUAAACUCAGCUAAACCUAACAACAUGCCAUGCCAGUCACUUCAAGGCAGUGAGGAAUCAAGUCCAAAAGCUAAGGCAAGGAACUCGACAAACAUGAUAACUGAAUAGACCACUCGAAGAAAAAAAUUCAAUGGCCUGGUACGAACGGCC